Molecule: transfer RNA, 71 nt
Filed under: soil metagenome
Also listed under: 1 other name
Rfam family: tRNA
About the family: Transfer RNA (tRNA) molecules are approximately 80 nucleotides in length. Their secondary structure includes four short double-helical elements and three loops (D, anti-codon, and T loops).
Source: RNAcentral
UGGGGAGUGGUGUAACGGCAGCACAGGUGCCUUUGGAGCAUCUUGUCCUGGUUCGAAUCCGGGCUCCCCAG